Molecule: ribosomal RNA, 254 nt
Filed under: uncultured bacterium
Lineage: Bacteria
Description: partial 16S ribosomal RNA
Rfam family: Bacterial small subunit ribosomal RNA
Source: RNAcentral
UACAGAGGUCUCAAGCGUUGUUCGGAUUCAUUGGGCGUAAAGGGUGCGUAGGCGGGUCUUUAAGUCAGGGGUGAAAGGUUCAGUGCUUAACGCGAACAGUGCCUUGGAGACUGGAUGACUUGAGUUUGGGAGAGGGUAGUGGAAUGGCUGGUGUAGCGGUGAAAUGCGUAGAUAUCAGUCGGAACACCAAUGGCGAAGGCAGCUACCUGGCCUAAAACUGACGCUGAGGUGCGAAAGCGUGGGGAGCGAACGGG